Molecule: long non-coding RNA, 1719 nt
Filed under: Gouania willdenowi (blunt-snouted clingfish)
Lineage: Eukaryota; Metazoa; Chordata; Actinopteri; Blenniiformes; Gobiesocidae
Description: lncRNA (ENSGWIG00000019283.1)
Source: RNAcentral
GCCAGCCAGCCAUGCAAACAUAGAGCAGAGACACUCACAAUAAGUCAACUGGUGACACUCUUACUGGUCAGAAUCUUUCUCUGUGUGCCAUGUUCAUCACUCCUUUCUGUCUCUUUAUCGUUCUUUGUUAUUAUUGACAAGGGUUUUCUCCUCAGGAAAGUGAUGAAGAUGCCAGAAAAACAAAUGAGCUGAGAGUAGAAACUUCAACAAUAAGCCAUGUAAGACAAAGUGUUGUUUUCUGUCUCUCUCAAAUUACAGUCUCUAAAGCCUUGUUCCUGUCCCAGACUCAAUGCUCCCCUUCUAGUCUCUUUUUUAAAUGAAUAUUGGGCAUGUGUGUUCUUCCAAGGAUAGUGAUGAAGAUGACAGCCAAACAGAAGAGCAGAGAGCAGAAACUUUUAAUGAAGCACAGAGCUCUCAGAGCAAUGAUGACACUGGCAGCCAAACAGAAGUGCAAAGAGCAGACCUUUCCACAUUGGAACAGAAAGAACUUCAGCAUAUUGCUCACCUGUGGAACACCCACAUCAUUCAGAGAAGCAGAAAUGCAGUUGCACCUAGUGGCUGGCCUCACAUGAUGUACAUGCUUCCUCAGCUUUUUGGGGAAAGGACCAUCUCAAACAUGCAUCUGUGUAAGCAGUACAAACAUGCAGAGCACAAUGCAUACAACGAGGACCUUACCCAUGUGAUGAGACUGCCAUCCACUGGAGGAUAAGGUGAACACAGACAACUUCCUUCAUCUCCCAUCCACAAUUGAACUGUAUCUAUUUUUAAGAACUUGCAUACGUAAAGAUUAGUGAAAAAAGCUAUCCUGGCUCGUAAAGCACCACCUGCAUUAAUUUUUUUUUAUUCAUAUUGUCCACAGCCCCCCCACCAGCAUCCCGGGCUGACAGGAGACUCCCACGCCAAACCCAACGGGAGAGCAGGCGCAGGGUGAAGGUGGAGGAGGGGGGGAGGACGAGACAGGGGACAGAGAGCAAGAGGAAAGAGUGGCAGAGAAACAUGCAGGCCCCCAGCCCCAAGGGCCACCCAGACGUGCACGGAGGAGGCAGGAGAGUAACACCAAACCACCCAGGGACCACGAGAGCACCCGAAAGGGACGCACGCCCGCGCAGAGGCACCCAACACACCCCAGCAAGCCACCCAGGUCAAGGCCACCCCACAAGCCCAUGGAGGUCCAGGACUACAGUUAGAUCAGUGUGUUAGUAAAGAGUGGUGCUGGCAGUCGCUUGCAGGCUAGAUCAUCAGGCUAAAAACGAAAAAUCAAGAUUCAAUGCAAUUAGACCUGUAUAUAUUGUUGAAACAACAACAAAAAGAGGCUUUAAAACUGUAAGUCUGUACCGUACUACACAAUGUUUUCAUCUGGUGGCUCUGUUUAGGGAAAAAGAACUACGCUUGUCACGCUAUUGUCGUCAGGUCCGCUCAUCGUUUGAGUGGUUUGUGUGUUUGUCCCGCUCCGCUCAGCCACCAGAACUCAAUCGUCUGGUGAGCACUUCCAGAUUAAUCACCUUUAUGAAAAAUACAAGGAGAUUAAGAUAGAUUCCAGGCUAGCCCACUCAUGUCUUUUGCACCAAGGCGAGGAAAAUUUAUUUGUAUAGCGCAUUUCAUACACAAGGCAACUCAAUGUGCUUUACAUGAUCAAAAAGUGCAACAGGAAACAUUCAACAGCUUAAAAUCAAUAAGAACAUUAAAGUCGGCAAAAAAUAAAAAUAAUCAAUAAACACA